ACAAUCCUGAGCCUUGUGCCCAGGCUCUGCUGCUGCCAGCGCCAAACAACGUGCUGCAGACAGGAGGAGGAGCAGGGGGCCAGCAGAACAAGGCACCCCUGGGAACAGAGCAGCCCUAAAACCUCAGGGGUACCCCGAAAUUCCAGGCUUGCUGACUCCCAUUUCUGAACACUUUGGAGGGAAGUGGGAAUUUUACCUCACUGGGCACAAGGUGAGCAGCUAAGAGGGACUGUGAUUCCUGCAGAAAGUGCUGUAAAAUUCUUGGUUAUUGGGCACUUUUAGUCAGCAGGUGGAUGACAAAAUGUGAUGGAAACCCCUUGGCCCUGUGACGAGUGGCAGUGGGGAUCACCCACCAGCUCCUGGCAGUGCUCCAUGGAUGCUCCAGAGCAGGACUGCAGGACAGGGAAAAUGGAAAAUCCCCCCUUUGGAUUUCUAAGGCUUGAGGGAGAAGAAAAUGUGCAGGGAAGUGUUUGGAGUUGCCUUUGCCAUGGCAGCAUGGAGGGUGCCCUGCCCCAGGCAGCUGGGUGGGCACCUGCGGGGGCAGAGCCUGGGGGCACCUGAGCCACGGGGGUGAUGGAAAACCCUUUCUGCAUCCCUCUCCUUUUGUGAAAAAUGCCUGUUUUAUGGUUGUCUUUUUGCAAAUAUUCACAUUAAUAUUAUAUGCCUUGUGUUAGAAAGUUAUGCUGUACUAAUUCUCUUAAGUACUGUGUUAAAUAUAGUUUUAGGCUAUAAAAAUGUUAAAACAGAAACUAUGCUGUGUAGGAUACUUUUUUUAAAGAAAGAGCUUGCACCAAGAUAGCAGCCACAGGACACCUGAAUCUUUCAGAGAAAGAGAAUUUAUUGCUCCAUUAUCAGAAGAAAUGAACUUCUUCCUGCCUCGAAGGUGCUGUCAGGAUUCAAAGGAAGAAGUUGACACUGACCAGACAGAAUCCUGUGUUUGAAUGGAAUUUAUGCAUCAUGUAUGAGGUGUAUGAAUAUGCAACAGGCUGUUGUUUUUAAGGGUUAAUCCUCUGCUAACAUGGGUCCUUUUUUUGGGCUUAUUUUGCCCAGAAAGAGGUAUCCAAACUGUCCAUAACUCUUUGUUUCUAUUAUCUCAUAUUGUCCUAAUUCAAUUUGUCCAAAGUAAUAUUACUCUAAUUGUAUUACUUUUUCUAUAACCAUUUUAUUGCUAUUAAACUUUUAAAAUUUCAAAAA
This is a long non-coding RNA of Melospiza melodia melodia, 1194 nucleotides long. RefSeq lists it as uncharacterized. The transcript has 2 exons. NCBI's taxonomy places the organism in Eukaryota, Metazoa, Chordata, Aves, Passeriformes, Passerellidae. The record is from RefSeq and is a predicted model, not a curated record.